Molecule: ribosomal RNA, 379 nt
Filed under: uncultured Arcobacter sp.
Lineage: Bacteria; Pseudomonadati; Campylobacterota; Epsilonproteobacteria; Campylobacterales; Arcobacteraceae
Description: bacterial SSU rRNA
Rfam family: Bacterial small subunit ribosomal RNA
Source: RNAcentral
UUAGAGUGUGCUAGCUUGCUAGAAUUUAGUAUACAGGUGCUGCACGGCUGUCGUCAGCUCGUGUCGUGAGAUGUUGGGUUAAGUACCCGCAACGAGCGCAACCUCCGUGUUAGUUGCUAACAGUUCGGCUGAGAACUCUAAACAGACUGCCUACGCAAGUAGGAGGAAGGUGAGGACGACGUCAAGUCAUCAUGGCCCUUACGGCCAGGGCUACACACGUGCUACAAUGGGGUAUACAAAGAGCAGCGAUACGGUGACGUGGAGCAAAUCUAGAAAAUGCCUCUCAGUUCGGAUUGUAGUCUGCAACUCGACUACAUGAAGUUGGAAUCGCUAGUAAUCGUAGAUCAGCAAUGCUACGGUGAAUACGUUCCCGGGUCUU